GUCGAACGAGAGUAGAUCGGUGCUUGCACUGAUCCGAUCGAGUGGCGGACGGGUGAGUAACGCGUGGGUAACCUGCCUCAUACAGGGGAAUAACAGUUGGAAACGGCUGCUAAAACCGCAUAAGCGCACAGUAUCGCAUGAUACAGUGUGAAAAACUCCGGUGGUAUGAGAUGGACCCGCGUCUGAUUAGCUAGUUGGUGAGGUAACGGCCCACCAAGGCAACGAUCAGUAGCCGGCCUGAGAGGGUGAACGGCCACAUUGGGACUGAGACACGGCCCAAACUCCUACGGGAGGCAGCAGUGGGGAAUAUUGCACAAUGGGCGAAAGCCUGAUGCAGCGACGCCGCGUGAGUGAUGAAGUAUUUCGGUAUGUAAAGCUCUAUCAGCAGGGAAGAUAAUGACGGUACCUGACUAAGAAGCACCGGCUAAAUACGUGCCCGCAGCCGCGGUAAUACGUAUGGUGCAAGCGUUAUCCGGAUUUACUGGGUGUAAAGGGUGCGUAGGUGGUGAGACAAGUCUGAAGUGAAAAUCCGGGGCUUAACCCCGGAACUGCUUUGGAAACUGCCUGACUAGAGUACAGGAGAGGUAAGUGGAAUUCCUAGUGUAGCGGUGAAAUGCGUAGAUAUUAGGAGGAACACCAGUGGCGAAGGCGGCUUACUGGACGAUAACUGACGCUGAGGCUCGAAAGCGUGGGGAGCAAACAG
Molecule: ribosomal RNA, 703 nt
Filed under: uncultured bacterium
Lineage: Bacteria
Description: bacterial SSU rRNA
Rfam family: Bacterial small subunit ribosomal RNA
Source: RNAcentral